This 727-nucleotide small RNA is filed under the name Pan troglodytes (chimpanzee). RNAcentral describes it as "processed transcript". The stretch from base 599 to 727 matches the Rfam family "7SK RNA", at positions 1 to 63 of the family's 331-position model. The record is from RNAcentral. Lineage: Eukaryota; Metazoa; Chordata; Mammalia; Primates; Hominidae.
AACACAAGGACAUUCAGAGUUGUACAGUAGAAGUUCAUUUUCAAAAGAUAAUUGAUAAGGAAGGGGAUGAUUAUGAAGUCAUUCCUAACAGUAAUUUCUGUGUAUCCAGAACGGCCUACAGAGAUAAUACUUCUGUCUAUCACAUAAGUGGAAAGAAAAAGACAUUUAAGGAUGUUGGAAAUCUUCUUCGAAGCCAUGGAAUUGACUUGGACCAUAAUAGAUUUUUAAUUUUACAGGGCGAAGUUGAACAAAUUGCUAUGAUGAAACCAAAAGGCCAGACUGAACACGAUGAGGGUAUGCUUGAAUAUUUAGAAGAUAUAAUUGGUUGUGGACGGCUAAAUGAACCUAUUAAAGUCUUGUGUUGGAGAGUUGAAAUAUUAAAUGAACACAGAGGAGAGAAGAGAAACAUGAAGACUGAAGUGAAAAAAAAUCUCUAAACAUUGUUUUGUGUGACUGGAUGUGUUAGCUCAUGCCUGUAAUUCAGCACUUUGGGAGGCUAAGGCAGGAGGAUCACUUGAGGCUGGGAGUUCAAGACCAGCCUGGGCAACAUAGCAAGACCCCAUCUCUACAAAAAAAGGAAUUAUGUGGUGAACUUAUCCAAUGUGAGGACUAUCUGGCUGUGACACCUGUCACCCCGUUGAUCACCAGGGUUGAAUUUAUUAAAUUAGGCAUAUUUAUCAAUUCAUUGAAGUUGACUUUUUAGUAUCCUGCUUUAAGUUGGGAGGUA